Molecule: ribosomal RNA, 332 nt
Filed under: uncultured bacterium
Lineage: Bacteria
Description: bacterial SSU rRNA
Rfam family: Bacterial small subunit ribosomal RNA
Source: RNAcentral
CGCGUAGGCGGCUUUUUAAGUCAGAUGUGAAAUUCCGGGGCUCAACCCCGGAGCUGCAUUUGAGACUGAGGAGCUAGUGGCUAGUUAGGGAAAACAGAAUUCCACGUGUAGCGGUGAAAUGCGUAGAUAUGUGGAAGAAUACCGGUGGUGAAGACGGUUUUCUGGACUAAGCCAGACGCUGAGGCGCGAAAGCUAGGGGGGCAAACAGGAUUAGAUACCCUGGUAGUCCUAGCUAUAAACGAUGCAUACUAGAUGUAGGGAGGCUCAACCCUUUCUGUAUCGGAGCUAACGCGUUAAGUAUGCCGCCUGGGGAGUACGCUCGCAAGGGUGAA